CUUCAUACGUCAUGAAACUGGCACUUGAAUGGCAACAUAGUGGGCACACAGUAAAGAUGUCAUUGGAAUGGGGAUGUUGCCGCAGAUAUUUCCCUUUGACAAGAUGGUGAGCCUGUGAUGGACGCUCAUGCUGACACAACCAUGAUGGAGAUGCUGAAGAGAUAUACAAAUAUGUUCAUUCAGGUCAAUAUUUCUUGGUAGUGAGGUUCUACCUCCAACAGCCAGAGCACCACCCCUCUGCAAAGAGAGAUGGGAGCUCCGC
RNAcentral lists this long non-coding RNA (262 nucleotides) under Numida meleagris (helmeted guineafowl). RNAcentral's name for it is "lncRNA (ENSNMEG00000015369.1)". Lineage: Eukaryota; Metazoa; Chordata; Aves; Galliformes; Numididae. The record is from RNAcentral.